AGGAGAUUAGUUUAAUGGUUAUAACGCUCGUUUUACACGCGAGAAAUUAUAGGUUCAAAUCCUAUAUCUCUUA
This 73-nucleotide transfer RNA is filed under the name Magnusiomyces fungicola. RNAcentral's name for it is "Saprochaete fungicola tRNA-Val". It matches the Rfam family "tRNA". From Rfam's summary of the family: Transfer RNA (tRNA) molecules are approximately 80 nucleotides in length. Their secondary structure includes four short double-helical elements and three loops (D, anti-codon, and T loops). Lineage: Eukaryota; Fungi; Ascomycota; Dipodascomycetes; Dipodascales; Dipodascaceae. The record is from RNAcentral.